GCUACCCUGCUCGUAGGGCUCCAGAAAUUUUCUCUGGCUCAGGACGAACGCUGGCGGCGUGCCUAAUACAUGCAAGUCGAACGAACUCUGGUAUUGAUUGGUGCUUGCAUCAUGAUUUACAUCUGAGUGAGUGGCGAACUGGUGAGUAACACGUGUGAAACCUGCCCAGAAGCGCGGGAUAACACCUGGAAACAGAUGCUAAUACCGCAUAACAACUUGGACCGCAUGGUCCGAGCUUGAAAGAUGGCUUCGGCUAUCACUUUUGGAUGGUCUCGCGGCGUAUUAGCUAGAUGGUGGGGUAACGGCUCACCAUGGCAAUGAUACGUAGCCGACCUGAGAGGGUAAUCGGCCACAUUGGGACUGAGACACGGCCCAAACUCCUACGGGAGGCAGCAGUAGGGAAUCUUCCACAAUGGACGAAAGUCUGAUGGAGCAACGCCGCGUGAGUGAAGAAGGGUUUCGGCUCGUAAAACUCUGUUGUUAAAGAAGAACAUAUCUGAGAGUAACUGUUCAGGUAUUGACGGUAUUUAACCAGAAAGCCACGGCUAACUACGUGCCAGCAGCCGCGGUAAUACGUAGGUGGCAAGCGUUGUCCGGAUUUAUUGGGCGUAAAGCGAGCGCAGGCGGUUUUUUAAGUCUGAUGUGAAAACCUUCGGCUCAACCGAAGAAGUGCAUCGGAAACUGGGAAACUUGAGUGCAGAAGAGGACAGUGGAACUCCAUGUGUAGCGGUGAAAUGCGUAGAUAUAUGGAAGAACACCAGUGGCGAAGGCGGCUGUCUGGUCUGUAACUGACGCUGAGGCUCGAAAGUAUGGGUAGCAAACAGGAUUAGAUACCCUGGUAGUCCAUACCGUAAACGAUGAAUGCUAAGUGUUGGAGGGUUUCCGCCCUUUCAGUGCUGCAGCAUAACGCAUUAAGCAUUCCGCCUGGGGAGUACGGCCGCAAGGUUGAAACUCAAAGGAAUUGACGGGGGCCCGCACAAGCGGUGGAGCAUGUGGUUUAAUUCGAAGCUACGCGAAGAACCUUACCAGGUCUUGACAUACUAUGCAAAUCUAAGAGAUUAGACGUUCCCUUCGGGGACAUGGAUACAGGUGGUGCAUGGUUGUCGUCAGCUCGUGUCGUGAGAUGUUGGGUUAAGUCCCGCAACGAGCGCAACCCUUAUUAUCAGUUGCCAGCAUUAAGUUGGGCACUCUGGUGAGACUGCCGGUGACAAACCGGAGAAAGGUGGGGAUGACGUCAAAUCAUCAUGCCCCUUAUGACCUGGGCUACACACGUGCUACAAUGGAUGGUACAACGAGUUGCGAACUCGCGAGAGUAAGCUAAUCUCUUAAAGCCAUUCUCAGUUCGGAUUGUAGGCUGCAACUCGCCUACAUGAAGUCGGAAUCGCUAGUAAUCGCGGAUCAGCAUGCCGCGGUGAAUACGUUCCCGGGCCUUGUACACACCGCCCGUCACACCAUGAGAGUUUGUAACACCCAAAGUCGGUGGGGUAACCUUUUAGGAACCAGCCGCCUAAGGUGGGACAGAUGAUUAGGGUGAAGUCGUAUCAGGGGUAACCGAA
Molecule: ribosomal RNA, 1556 nt
Filed under: Lactiplantibacillus plantarum
Lineage: Bacteria; Bacillati; Bacillota; Bacilli; Lactobacillales; Lactobacillaceae
Description: bacterial SSU rRNA
Rfam family: Bacterial small subunit ribosomal RNA
Source: RNAcentral